UGGUUAGUCCCGCAACGAGCGCAACCCCCUAUUGUUAGUUGCCAUCAUUCAGUUGGGCACUCUAGCGAGACUGCCGGUAAUAAACCGGAGGAAGGUGGGGAUGACGUCAAAUCAUCAUGCCCCUUAUGACCUGGGCUACACACGUGCUACAAUGGUUGGUACAACGAGUUGCGAGUCGGUGACGGCGAGCUAAUCUCUUAAAGCCAAUCUCAGUUCGGAUUGUAGGCUGCAACUCGCCUACAUGAAGUCGGAAUCGCUAGUAAUCGCGGAUCAGCACGCCGCGGUGAAUACGUUCCCGGGCCUU
Molecule: ribosomal RNA, 304 nt
Filed under: uncultured Streptococcus sp.
Lineage: Bacteria; Bacillati; Bacillota; Bacilli; Lactobacillales; Streptococcaceae
Description: bacterial SSU rRNA
Rfam family: Bacterial small subunit ribosomal RNA
Source: RNAcentral